GAUGAACGCUGGCGGCGUGCUUAACACAUGCAAGUCGAACGGGAAUUACUUUAUUGAAACUUCGGUCGAUUUAAUUUAAUUCUAGUGGCGGACGGGUGAGUAACGCGUGGGUAACCUGCCUUAUACAGGGGGAUAACAGUCAGAAAUGGCUGCUAAUACCGCAUAAGCGCACAGAGCUGCAUGGCUCAGUGUGAAAAACUCCGGUGGUAUAAGAUGGACCCGCGUUGGAUUAGCUAGUUGGUGGGGUAACGGCCCACCAAGGCGACGAUCCAUAGCCGGCCUGAGAGGGUGAACGGCCACAUUGGGACUGAGACACGGCCCAGACUCCUACGGGAGGCAGCAGUGGGGAAUAUUGCACAAUGGGGGAAACCCUGAUGCAGCGACGCCGCGUGAAGGAAGAAGUAUCUCGGUAUGUAAACUUCUAUCAGCAGGGAAGAUAGUGACGGUACCUGACUAAGAAGCCCCGGCUAACUACGUGCCAGCAGCCGCGGUAAAACGUAGGGGGCAAGCGUUAUCCGGAAUUACUGGGUGUAAAGGGAGAACAGACGGGAGGACAAGUUGGAAGUGAAAUCUAUAGGCUCAACCCUGUAAUCUGCUUUCAAAACUGUUUUUCAUGAGUAGUGCAGAGGUAGGCGGAAUUCCCGGUG
This 647-nucleotide ribosomal RNA is filed under the name uncultured bacterium. RNAcentral's name for it is "bacterial SSU rRNA". It matches the Rfam family "Bacterial small subunit ribosomal RNA", at positions 28 to 675 of the family's 1533-position model. The record is from RNAcentral.